UAAACCAAAAUGAAGAUAUCUGGGAUUUUGGUCCUCUCUUGCCUCCUUAGUCUUACCUUAUUCCAAAUCACAAAAUCUGAACCAGUUGUUGAUACUAACAAUGAACAAGUCAUGCCAGGAUCCACCUACUACAUAUUGCCCGCCACCACGGGCAACGGUGGUGGCCUAACGCUAGCAAAAGGCGCAAACGGGAGCUGCCCACUCAACGUUUACCAAGCGCAAAAUUCGCAAAGCGUAGGCCUUCCGUUGAGAUUCUUGAUGGUGAAUUCGAGCGCGGGCUUAGUAAUCGACGAAAAUGAGGAGGUAAAUAUUAAAUUCGCAGCACCAAGGUACGACUCGAUAUGUAAGAAAUCAACUGUUUGGAGAAUAGAAGGAGGGUUAGUGACGACUGGUGGAAUUAAGGGUGGAUCAGUAAGUGGCACGUCCACAUGUUUAUUUACGAUUCAGAAAUAUGAAGAUGCAUAUGCUUUACAAUAUUGUCCAAGAGCAAAAGGAUGUACUUUUAUUUGUCCAAAAUUGUCGUGUGGAUAUAUUGGUGUUUUAUCAGUUGCUAAUGGAUCGAAGCGUUUGGCUGUGAACAGGACGGCUUACAAGAUUGUGUUCAAGAAGGCCUAAGACAUUGAUUUUACUCUUAUUAUAUGGUAAUAAAACAUAGUGAAAAUUAACAAUGAUGUUAUAAUUUGUGGGUGCAGACGUGCGUGUUAUGCAGGGAGUUGUUUCAUAUUUGAUUUAGGAAUUGAUUUAUCAUUUGAAUCUAGAUGCAUAAUGCUUGAUAUUUGUUUUUCGUGUAAUUCACCUUUGUAUUAUUUUUAUUUAUUUAUUAUCUUAUUUCCCUUUUUCUCUUGAAUUGAAUUGGUUGUGAAAAUGUUGUAGUACAAUAAAUUACUCCCUUGAUUUCAUUUUACUUUGACUUUGGCUAAUUUGCCACACCAUUUUAAAAAAAUUAAUUAUGAGUGUGUUUUAUUAAAUUAACCUAAUCAAUGAUGUUUUGAAAUUCUAAAUUUAAUUAUUACUUCUAUUACUAUAUGUUGUUAUUUACUUAUUUAAUUCAAAUGAUAGGAAGAAAUAAAAUAUCGAAAGACUCCUGAUUUCAUAAAUUUGACAAAUAAAUUAAAAUAAAUAUUUUUAAUACAGGAGGUAAGUAAAAUAAAACGGAAGGAGUAUUAUUAUACUUUCCUGCAGGUUAUCAUGAAUAUCGAACUUUGUAUGAAUUAAUAUUAUUUACCUAUUAAUUUUUAGUAGCAUCUCUAAGACAUCUGAAUUUCUAUCAUUGUUAUUUUGAUCCGAGGACUUUCCUUAAAAUUGUUUCAAAUUUUAUUCCGAAUUGUUAUUCUUAUCCCACAUACGAAAUAAUUCCUCAUAGUCGAUUCACUUAAUUGAUCACUUAGUCACACCCUUGAAUCACCUACACUUUAACUAUAUAUAUUCUGUUAAAACAAAACAAAAUAUAGCAAACAUAAAAAUCCACCAUAGAAUAUGUCCGUAUCAAAUAUAUCCAUAUUGAUACUCGAACCAUCUAAACUAUUACGAUUGUAGUUGUCUCAAGCAGCAAAAGAUUUUUUAUUUUUUUGUCAUUUUCUUCAGAUAACUUGCAGAUAACAGUGAGUUGAUAUAUUUUGUUCAUAUGUUAACAAUUAAGGCUUAAGCCUUUAGUAGUGUAAACUUAGUUUUGAUUUGAGUUUUUUCUAAUUUGCUAAACAUACAUAAGUCCAACCCUGUUGUCAAAAUAUUGUGAAGCUAAAAUUUUGAUAAUGUUACAUAAAUAUCUAUAAAUGUACAAAGUAAUAAAAAAAUAAUAUACAUAAAAUUGGGUCGGUUUGAUCAUUUUUAGUUGAAACCAAACCUAACCACUAAUUAGUUCUUUUUUUGUGGUUUUGGGGCGAUUUGCCAAUUUUCUUUGUACACCCUAAUUAGGGGUUUACAUUUGACAUUUGAUAUUUUUAAAAUUCGAUCCAAUAUAAUAAAUCAUCGUUUGAUUCAGCAAAAAAUUAUUUUUUUGGUGAUUUAUGCCCACCUUACAAUUAGAUCAUUAUUCUUCGUUGCUUACUUUCAGUUUCAUUACUUCUAAUCAAAUACAUAAUGCCAAAUUAUUCGUCCAUCUAGCUCCAAAAAUUUAAAACCCGUUAGGACUUGGUCAAACUAUUUAAAUUCAGACAAGUCAAAUAGGGCGCAUAUAUAAGUUAAUGACAAUUAAACUCUGAUUUAGCAUAGAUGUUGAAGUACUAUGUCUUGUUUUAAUGAUUUGACAAAUCUAUUGAAGAACUAGAUAUGCUACCCAAAUAAUUUGAUCCAUUUCUUAUAAUCAACUGUAUGAGAACCUGGUUCUUAGAGGGAACUUGCUUCAUGUGUUUGCCAUCGUCAAAAAGGAAAAAAUUGAUGAUGCAUAGUUACUAUGACACUAUGCUUUGUUUUGAUGAUCUGACAAGCCUAUCGAGGGACCGUUAAGUAACCAGACAUGCACCAGACCAAUCUCAGGGGAAACAAGAGAACAAGCCACGAGGGAAUACUACUUAUUCAAGAGGAACUACCACUCUAAGGGAUCUUAUCUCAUAGCAACCAAACAAGGGACCACGUAUUCGCACCAGACUGAUUUGUACAAGUCAACUCUCACACCAGUCCAUAACAGUCUAUUGUUGUGUGUUAUUAGGUCUAGGUUGUUAAGUCUUUGUGUUUUACUCUCCAGUGUAAACUGACUCCUCACUAUUGAGAAAUUAAACUUGUGUAGGUAUUUCUUUUUCACUCAUAUCCUGUAGAUUUAAGUUGAGGGCUAGAGUUAGCCAUUUGAGUUAUUGGCUAAAGUUAGUCGUGGUAAAUGUAUGGGCUAGAUUCUCACAGUUGUAUCGACUGUAGUUAGUUGAUAGAGUGAGCUAGAGUUAACGAGAUAUGAUGGUCCACUAAAGUUAGUUGACGUUGUGGGCUACAAUAGAGUUAAUAUAGUGUGACUCGUGAUAAAGCUUUUACAAGGGGUUAGGGAUAGGAGGAUAAUCCUAGGAUUAUUAAUUGGAGUUUGUAAUAUGAAAUCGUUUUUGUUUUAGUGAAGUUGUUUGUGAAAAUACUACGAGGUAGGUCGUGGUUUUACUUCCUUGAAUAAGGAGGUUUCAACAUAAAAAUUGUCUGUACUUUGUUGUUGUUGUUUGCACUUUAUUGUUCGUGGUCGUUCUCAAUCAACGUAUCGAGUCCCUUGGUUGAUGUUGGCAGGGGCGGACCUACAUAGAUUUUUAGGGUGCUCCGGCAUCCACUAAACUCGAUGCGAAAUAGGUAUAAUUACAUAGAAUAUAUACGAAAAUAAGUAUAAAACAUAUAAAAGCACCCACUAAAAUAAAAAGUUGAUUGGAUGGGCAUCCCGAGUUCGAACCUUGUUGAGGUAAUUAUUUAUUUUUUUAAUUUUUUAAGCACCUACAAUCCUUAAAUUUUGGAUCCGCCACUGGAUGGUGGAUACAUACAAGCCUACGAACUCUUUGAUAAGUAUUAUUAACAAUUAGUUAACCUCAUAAAAAUAGUCGUAAUUUAUUUUAUGCAUGAAAGUUAAGUCCUAAUAUAGACAUAAUUUACCAAGAGUUGUAAAUGAUUGGAAGUAGAAAACAUUGAAUCCCAGCUGAAGCAUAACUAAGAACUCUCAAACUCACAAGAUGAAUUUGGUUUUCUUUUCUAGUUUGAUCUUCACUUAGUUUCAUUCAAGUUUAUCUUGAUUGUUAGAGUUUUUGAUCCGAAUUUUGUUGAUCCAUCUCUGAAAAGAUUGCGGUGCGAACCAUGCUUGAGAUUUUUCGGGGGGGUUUGUGGUGGUAGCGUAGAGUUUUCUUGUACGCACGUAUUAUAUAAGUGCGACUUAGAGGGUUGGUUUUAAUAUGACGGUUCUCGUGUGUCAUUGAGAACAUUGGCACCUCCUUGAAUUCCUCUCUUAUAUAGUGAAUUUCUUCUCUGUCUGUGGUUUUUCCCGUUAAGGGUUUCCACAUUAAUCUAUGUGUGUUCAUCUUGUUUUUCUCUUACUUAUCAUAUUGCUUAUUCCUAUUUGAUUUCAUAACACUUGUUAAAGUAUGUACCUUACUGAUCAGUGACUUUAACGUAAGAGUUGCCUGUGGAUGGAAUGGGUUGCCUGAUAUGUUUUAAAAAUGCAGUAAAAUGAAAAGUAAAGAAUACAAUAAUUUUUUUACGUGAAAAACACCCGGCUCAAAAAUGUGUAAAAAAAUCACAACCUGCACCUCUACAGGAGUUAACCCCAACUUCACUAAAUAACUCUGAGCCUCAACAACGACUGAUUACAAAACUCUUGUAACCAACAACUAGGAAUUAUAAACUCUAAUUCCUAUACCUCAAUAACGAGUAAUUAUAAACUCUAAUUUCUAUAACUCAACAAUCACCCUUGACUAUUGAACCCACUUCGAGUUAUCCCAAACUUGAAGUUAACUCAGCUCAGUAUUGUUCCUAAAUAGUCAAUCUAGAAAAGCAAUAAAUUACAACUCGAUAAGAACAAUAUAUUCUUAAACUGACUCAUGAAUUGUAAAGCUUAAUCCUGUGAAACAGGUUCGUCAAUUUGUUCCUUUGUACUGGCAACACUUGAAUCUUCAGUCAGAAUUCUCUCCAUUAUAAACUUUCUCAAUUUGAUAGUGUUUAGCCUUUUCUCUCUCUGUAAGUGCGCAAGUUACUCUAAAUGAUACAUUUUCUAUUUAUGCAUAGCUUUCCAAAGAGUCAUUCUUUAUUUCAAACUUCUCAUUUUAUCAGAACUCUCAUUGCGUAGAGUUCUACUUCAAGUGAUACUCCUUCUUCAAUUCCAACUCUCGUCUCCUUAGUGUUAUAGUCAAACUCUAAUUAUUUAAAUCAACAUAUGUUUAUUUCCUUGAGUUUAUCUGAAUUAGUCACUCAUCUGGUCUUCCUUGAUUUUUGCACACUUGUCUUUAAUCAUCGAUUAUUUUACCACAAGUUUAAGUUACAUGAGACAGUGUGUCUGUGAACCAGCUUGACUGACAUGUUUCAUAUCAAUUUGUCAGUUUUUCAAUCAUCAAAACUAUAUCAUAUCCUAAUAAAUUUCCCAUGAUGUCAAACCUCUUGUCAUUGUGCAUUCAACCAUCUUUACCUGUAGGCACUACAGUAUAAAACACUAGGAUAAAAUAGGUUAGUCAAUGGGUUAUAAACAUCGCACAACCCUCUUAUCAUAUUUCUCCUUUUGACAUUAUCAAAAAACUAAUUCAAUGCAAUAAUAUACUAGCCAAAGUGAUUUGUUAUGCUAUUCAUUGCCACUGGGCUAUCACCAAAACAAUCAGACAAAGACUUUACCCAAUAUAGUAAUGUAUUAAAAAGAGCAAAAACAUGAGUCAAUUAAGCAAAGAUAACCAUUCCAUUUAAGUGGAAAAGCAUGUUCCACAUUAAACCUAAGCUAGUAGUGAACAAAUUAAAGUAACUGAGCAUUAAUAAAAAAAAGAAUAUGGUAUAAAAGUGGGAUAUGGUUAAGGAUACAAAUAGUGAGGAGCUGAUGAGAAAGGUAAAACAGGUGAUAUCAAUUGUGUCAAUUGACGAAUGACUUCAACAUUUUCAGCCCUCUCUAAAUCAAGGUCAAGUUUCAAAGUUAUGAUCCUAGCCCGAAGGAUCUCUUAUUCCACUUCAAAGUCUUGUGCAACUUCUAGUUCAGUAUUUUUCUCAGCUAAAAUACUUCUUUAAUUUUUUUAUUUUUUUUAAAUGAGUGUUAGCCAUCCAUAUUGAAACAGUUAGAGCAACAUAAAACAUCUGUUCAAGAACAUCUUUUGUUAUUUAAAAGGUCAAAUCCGAACUAGGACUGAGAAGUGCUCAAAAGUCUGAGCCAAUUAGAAUCCAAAAGGGAGAGCAUGUCCUCUUUUUAUACUUCAGAAACAUAUGUUGCAUGUGAUUGAUGAUCGAGUUUGGCAAAUCCAUGGUACAAAAACUGAUAUUUAGGUUGACAAAGAAGAAGAAAUUUCUGGCGUAGGAUCAAAGAAAGUAUGGUCAACUAAUUCGUUUGCUUUAUAAGACAAGGAGAGGAUGAAGUGUGAGGAAUUGAACAGAUGUGCUCAACUGUUUCAACUUAUAUAGCCUAUGCUUAUGUCAGUGUAGAACAUACCUACUAAGAAGAACUUUUUGAUCACAAUUGCUUGUUUGUACCUAUUUUUCUGCACAAUCUAAUACAAAAUUAGGUUAGAAGAGUAAAAUAUCUGAAAUUGGAACACACAACUAAAUGUGCAAGACUGAAUCGAAUAACAUUUUAGCUAAUACGAUUAAGAAGAAAAAUAGUUAUUAUAGUCAAUCAUUGAGGUGAGUUUAUGCAAUUUUAAUCAUCCCCAAGUCUAACCUAUUCUUUUCAAAAUGUUCUCUACUUAGUGCCUUUGGUGCUUAUCCAGUCAAUUAAGUAACCCAAAUAGUCAAUAUUUUUAUAGCCCUCAAGAGUGAAAUUGGUUUCCGUUGGAUACCAUAGUCUCAAGCCAUUGAUUCCCAUGAGAUAUCUCAAGAUUCUUUUGACAACUCCAAUUCUUAUGAACUACCAAUAAAAUUAUCAACAGCUUGUAUUGGUGUUAUUAAUGCAUUAAUUUCUUGAUUUGUUGUUUUCCCUGUCAAUAUGCCCUCGGUCUAUACAACAGUUAGACCAGGUGGUACAACAAGUUUCUGUGCAUGCUCAUUAGUUUCACUAUUAUCCUUUUUUUAGGGGACCUCCCUUGCUUCUCCCUUACACGAGCACACCAAAUCUGACCAUCUUUAAAAAAGAUUUUGUUUUAGUUCUCCCAAUCUUUUCAACUCUAGUAAUGUUGCUUUUUUUACUAUCUCCAAAAGAUCCAUUCCCCCUUUAAAUGUGGUGAGUAAAAAAAAAAUUAUUUGCUUCCAGUCUUAUGCCUUGAGCAAGCUCUAUCCAUGUACUAAUUUUUCUUUCCUCCUUUCACUCUCGCCUGCAAAAUAAACUAAGAGUUAAAUUUAAGAAUCCAGACAAGCAUGGAUCCUUUCUUAUCAGUAAAAGGGUGAAUCAAAUCUCUCCUAGCGCAUCGAGGUAACAGGUGAUGUGACCUGUUUUUUUGACCAGUUUAUCUUUUCUUCCUAUUUGUCUGUACUAUCAAGAAGUCGGAUUUCUUUACCAAAUUAGUGAUCCUAUCUCAUCUUUUAGCAGCAACUGGACAUUCAGUAGUUGGAUGUCCGUGAUUACCACAUAUAUAACAUAAAUCCUUAGUAAUAAUAGAGCUCUUGAAAAAACCCCAAUCCAGCCCUUUCACUUUGAGUUUUUUCACUGAAUUGAUGAACAAUUCUUAAGGAAUUUAUCCAUUUUUUUGUCUUUUCAAGAUCAAAUUUUAGUUUAGAGACUUCUUGGAUUAAUUUGUUCACCUUUUCCUUUUCAUUACAACAUUCUUGUUUGGACUUGGUCAAUUGAGGGUCAGCAUUUUCUUGUUCAUCACUUAUUUUUUUCAUUUUCAGAAAGAGUCAGUUUUAAAAUUUUAGAUUUUAGAAUCAGAUUUGAAGAAUCAAGUUGACCAACUUGUCCCUUAAGAGUGCAGUUUUCCUUUUCAACGAUAUUCUUACAAGCGUUUUGAAAAUCAUCAAUUAGAGCACUCAUUAAGGAAAUAAGUUUCUUCUUAGAAAAUAAAUGUAACUUCUCUUUGAGUUCAAGAAUACUUACCUCAGAGAUUCCAUCAUCUUUUUCCAUGUCUGAAUCUCCAAUGGCCAUGAGAGCAGUUUCAUCAUAUUUUUCAUCAUCUGAUUCAUCACUUUUAGAUGCCCUAUUUAGAUCUUCCAUGUUCAUUUCAUAGGUCUUUAAAUUUCUAACUAAAUCAUCAAGGGAUAUUCUAGUGAGAUCCUUAGCUUUUCUUAUGACUGUAACUUUGACAUUCCACUUAAACUUUGGUAGGACUCUCAAGACCUUCUCUACCAGUUCCUCAGUAGAUAAAAUCUUUCCUAGAGAUGAUAGCUCAUUACCAAUAAAGUUAACCUAGUUAUCAUUUCUUGUAGUGACUCAUUUUUCUCCAUUUUGAAAGCCUCAUAUUCAGUGAAAAGUACUGCAAUUGUGAAUUUUCUCAUUUGGCUAGUGCCUUCAUGUGCAUUCACCAAUACAUCCCAAAUUUGUUUAGCAGUAUUGCAAUUAGACACUCUAUUAUACUCGGUUGGACUAAGACCACAAACAAGAAUGUUUUUGGCUUUUGCAUUCUUUUUUAGUGCAACAAGAUCUUCUGGGGUGAAUUCACACCUAAUCUUUUUUACUUGUUCUCCAUCCACUGUCUUCAUGAAAAUUGUUGGUCCAUCAAUAAUUUUGUCCCAUAAUUCAUAAUCUACACAAUGAAGAAACGUUUUCAUCCUAACUUUCCACCAAAUGAAGUGAGAACCAUCAAAGAGUGGAGGUUUAAUAGUGGAUUGACCUUCACUGUGAUCAGUAUGUGGUGCGGAAUUCAUUAUAUUGAUCUUUGUCUUAGGUGCUAACCCCUUUUAAGACAACCUCGCUGUGAUGCCACUUGUUAGAGUACAUACCCUACUGAUCAUUGACUUUAACGUAAGAGUUGCCUAUGGAUGGAAUGGGUUGCCUGGCGUGUUUCAAGGAAGUAGUAAAAUGGGAAGUAAAGAACACAAUAUUUUUUUAUGUGAAAAACACCCCGCUCAAAAAAGUGUAAAAAACCACGACCUGCACCUCUACUGGAUUUAACCCCAACUUCACUAAAUAACUCUGAGCCUCAACAAUGACUGAUUACAAAACUCUUGUAACCAACAACUAAGAAUUAUAAACUCUAAUUUCUUUACUUCAAUAACUAGGAAUUAUAAACUCUUAUUCCUAUAACUCAACAAUCACCCUUGACUGUUGAACCCACUUCGAGUUAUCCCAUACUUGAAGUUAACUCAGCUCAAUAUUGUUCCUAAACAAUCAAUCUAGAAAAGAAGUAAAUUACAACUCGAUAAGAACAAUACAUUUAAACUGACUCAUGAACUAUAAAGCUUAAUCCUGUGAAACAGGUUCGUCAAUUUGUUCCUUUGUACUGGCAGCACUUGAAUCUUCAGUCAGAAUUCUCUCAAUUAUGAACUUUCUCAAUUUGAUCGUGUUUAGCCUUUUCUCUCUUUGUAAGUGCGUAAGUUACUCUGAAUGAUACAUCUUCUAUUUAAGCAUAGCUCUCCAAAGAGUCAUUCUUUAUUUCAAACUCAUCCUUUUAUCAGAACUCUCAUUGCGUAGAGUUCUACUUCAAGUGAGACUACUUCUUCAAGUGAGACUACUUCUUCAAUUCCAACUCUUGUCUCCUUAGUGUUGUAGUCAAACUCCAACUCUUUAAAUCAACAUAUGUUUAUUCCCUGAGUUUAUCUGAAUUAAUCACUCAUAUGGUCCUUCCUUGAUUUUUGCACGCUUGUCUUGCCACAAGUUUCAACUACAUGAGAUAGUUUGUCUGUGAAUCAGCUUGACCGACAUGUUUCAUAUCACUUUGUCAGUUUGUCAAUCAUCAAAACUACAUCGUACCCCAACAACACUAAUCAUGGAUAAAUUAUUCAGGUUCAGAUCCUUACACGGAAAGGUGACCCUGGCAACGAAGAUCAGUUCAUUUUCUCUAAAACAGGAAACUCAAAAUAAAUCCUUUGGUAGUUAAUCAGGGCGUAGCUUACUAGUUGUAAAGAACGCCGCGCGUUAUUUAUAGUAGUUUACAGAAUAGAUAGUAGAUGAUUUUAUCAAUAAUGAACAGGGUAUUUAUACAAGAGGGCGGAUCUAUAAGGACGUGAAAUAAAUCAAUACAAUCAAUUAAAAUAAAUGAAAAUCGUUAUGGUUAUGAAUAAGUUAAAAUAUAGGUAAACUAAAUAUGUAAAUAAGGAGCGAAGAUAAUUCAUAAUUCAUCUACGAUGUAUCUCUAAUAUGUUCCCACAAGAUGGUAGAUCGAUUAGAGAAUCAACUUGUAACGUAGCAGCUCAAAAGAGCUGCUUGGAAGAGAUUUUGUGAGCAUAUCAACAUGUUGGUCCUUCGAUGAAACAUGCAAAACCCGACGAAGACCUUGUUGGACUAAUUUACGGACAAAAUGACUAUCAAAAAGUUUAAUGUGCUUCAUGCGAGAGUGAGACGCAGUGUUAGCACAAAUAUAUGUAGCACCAAAAUUAUCACAGUAAAUGACCGGUGGUUGAGCCUAAGUAACCAAUAACUUCUUGAGAAGAUUACGCACUCAAUAAAGUUCAGCAGCAAGAGGCAAUGACCCUGUAUUCUGCCUCUGUCGAAGGACGAACUUAUUUAACAUUCUUGAUCUGUACAUCAUUUUCUAUGAAUUAUAAAACCAUGCACAUGUAGUUUUUAUUACGACAUGCCAAACUUUAGAAAUUCAAACUACGGCAAAAUUCAAUUCUUUUGACUUUUUUUUCCUACCUACGUAACAUAGUUUAAUACUCCUCCAUUCUAAAUUGGUUAUUUCCUUUUUUCUUCACACGUCCCUCGUAAAAUCACAAAUAAAAUGAGUAAUUUUAUUAAUUUAUCAUUUAUCUUCUCCUUUGAAAAAGAUUUCUUUUUUUGGAAUUUGUAAACCUGCAUGCUCUUUCAAAAACUACUAAUUGUAGAGGUAAAUAAUUUUUUCUUUUAUUAAUUUGAUCUUGAUUUGAUAAGUGGAUAGAUAAUUCGGGACAACUACAUAUAAUAAGGUAUACACAAUUAAUACGCCUUCAGUUUUUCAAACAUCAGAAAAUCACAAUUCAAAACUAUAACACCAAGCCAACGUAAUGGUAUACAAAUUUCAACAUCAACCUCUAUAUAAAUACAGUAAACAUUUACCCCCAAAAAACAUCAAUCAUACUACUGAUCAAAAUGAAGAUAUCUGGGAUUUUAUUACUUUCUUCCCUCCUUAGUUUUACCUUAUUCCAAAUCACAAAAUCCGAACCAGUUGUUGAUACUAACAAUGAACAAGUCAUGACAGGAUCCACCUACUACAUAUUGCCCGCCACCACAGGCAACGGUGGUGGCCUAACGCUAGCGCAAGGCGCUAACGGGAGCUGUCCGCUCAACGUUUACCAAGCGCAAAAUUCGCAAAGCGUAGGCCUUCCAUUGAGAUUGUUGAUGGUGAAUUCAAGCU
RNAcentral lists this long non-coding RNA (10997 nucleotides) under Capsicum annuum. RNAcentral's name for it is "long non-coding RNA (CANN_LNC004243)". Lineage: Eukaryota; Viridiplantae; Streptophyta; Magnoliopsida; Solanales; Solanaceae. The record is from RNAcentral.